CUCAUUUGGAUUCUACUUUAGAAAAGGGAAACUGUUUUAAAAUAUAGGUGUGAUUAUUAUUUAGGCAUGGCAAAACCAACAGAUCAGGACACGACUGCCAUUGAAGAGACAGUUUGUCAUACUCACAGAUCCCAAGACGAGAGGAGACCACACAGAGAAGCACAAGUUAUUGUGGUUUCUGCUGCAAGGCACAGGUUUCCAGAGGGGCCCUCUAGAAGUGAACAGCAUGGAGCAGCCCCGCCAUCUUCAACCACUACCCAGAGAAUGGGAAGACCCUGGAGAAAGGAAAAGAAGGUGAGGAUAGAAGGGGCCAGUAGGGAUUGA
Pan paniscus (pygmy chimpanzee) is the source of this 324-nucleotide long non-coding RNA. The record is from Ensembl. Lineage: Eukaryota; Metazoa; Chordata; Mammalia; Primates; Hominidae.